This 236-nucleotide long non-coding RNA is filed under the name Zostera marina. RNAcentral's name for it is "long non-coding RNA (ZMAR_LNC001473)". The record is from RNAcentral. Lineage: Eukaryota; Viridiplantae; Streptophyta; Magnoliopsida; Alismatales; Zosteraceae.
UGGGCUGUUGCUUCCUGUUGUCCUUUGUUACAGCACUCGUUUUCUUGGUGUUCAUUUACGGAGUCUUCUUUCGAGGAUCGAAAAAGAUGGAGGAAUAUUUCCAGGAUUUUUCUCACGGUAAACGGCCUUUCUUGUUGGCUCCUUCUCCGACAUUUCUCGAUUUUUAAAAAACUGCAGCUUCAGCUUCUCCUCCAUUCCUCUCUCGAUUGCAGUUAGUUAAUACAGUUUGUUUAUGG